This 662-nucleotide ribosomal RNA is filed under the name uncultured Cenococcum. RNAcentral's name for it is "eukaryotic LSU rRNA". The stretch from base 419 to 662 matches the Rfam family "Eukaryotic large subunit ribosomal RNA", at positions 1 to 242 of the family's 3401-position model. The record is from RNAcentral. Lineage: Eukaryota; Fungi; Ascomycota; Dothideomycetes; Gloniales; Gloniaceae.
ACUUCUAAACCUUUGACGAUUGACUCAUGUUGCCUCGGCGGGUUCUCCCGCCAGAGGAUACGUCAAAACUCCUGUUUUAACGGUGUUGUCUGAGCUACAAGCAACGAAUCAAAACUUUCAACAACGGAUCUCUUGGUUCUGGCAUCGAUGAAGAACGCAGCGAAAUGCGAUAAGUAGUGUGAAUUGCAGAAUUCAGUGAAUCAUCGAAUCUUUGAACGCACAUUGCGCCCCUUGGUAUCCCGAGGGGCAUGCCUGUUCGAGCGUCAUUUCACCACUCAAGCCUGGCUUGGUGUUGGGCGACGUCCCCUUUGGGGACGCGCCUCGAAACGCUCGGCGGCGUGGCACCGGCUUUAAGCGUAGCAGAAUCUUUCGCUUUGAAAGUCGGGGCCCCGUCUGCCGGAAGACCUACUCGCAAGGUUGACCUCGGAUCAGGCAGGGAUACCCGCUGAACUUAAGCAUAUCAAUAAGCGGAGGAAAAGAAACCAACAGGGAUUGCCUCAGUAACGGCGAGUGAAGCGGCAACAGCUCAAAUUUGAAAUCUGGCUCUUUUAGGGUCCGAGUUGUAAUUUGUAGAGGAUGCUUCGGCGUCGGCUCCGGUCUAAGUUCCUUGGAACAGGACGUCAUAGAGGGUGAGAAUCCCGUAUGUGAUCGGUUGCCCUUGC